Molecule: ribosomal RNA, 274 nt
Filed under: uncultured bacterium
Lineage: Bacteria
Description: partial 16S ribosomal RNA
Rfam family: Bacterial small subunit ribosomal RNA
Source: RNAcentral
CCCGCCGGCGACCGGCGCACGGGUGAGUAACACGUAUGAAACCUGCCCGUAGCAGGGGGAUAAGCGGAAGAAAUUCCGUCUAAUACCGCGUAACAACCCAUGGAGGCAUCUCUGUGGGUUUAAAGGAAGCGAUUCCGGCUACGGAUGGUCAUGCGUCGCAUUAGCUUGUUGGCGGGGUAACGGCCCGCCAAGGCGACGAUGCGUAGGGGUUCUGAGAGGAAGGUCCCCCACACUGGUACUGAGACACGGACCAGACUCCUACGGGAGGCAGCAG